Non-coding RNA from Equus caballus (horse), 504 nucleotides. The record is from RefSeq and is a predicted model, not a curated record. Lineage: Eukaryota; Metazoa; Chordata; Mammalia; Perissodactyla; Equidae.
AGCCUCUCAAAGAUGAAUCAGUCAAAGGUAGAGACGGGGCAGGUGGAGUGGUUCUGGGGCUGGCAGGGAACCAGCACGUGCUCACUCCAACAGAUCCAGGACAAGGAUCUGGAUGGUGUAGGUUCAGUAAAAACUGAAGAGAUUCCGAAGUGCUGCUUGCAGAAAUCAGUGCCCCUCCACAUUUUGAAAGGACAGAAGGUUUUCAAAGAGAAGUUAGAAUUUUGUCAAAGUAAAGUUCAUCACCCAGGACAUGAUUUAUCCCAAGGUGGGAAAUCCUUUACUUCUGACAGACCAUAGACCGUUCAAAACUUUCCAGCUUUUCUUUUGCUUUUUUUUUAAAGACUUAUUUUUCCUCCUUCUCCCCAAAGCCCCCUGGUACACAGCUGCACAUUUUUAGCUAUGGGUCACCCCAGCUGCGGCAUGCAGGACGCCGCCCCAGCAUGGCCCGAUGAGCGGUGCCACGUCUGCGCCCAGGACCCGAACCGGCGAAACCCUGGGCUGCCG